This 218-nucleotide ribosomal RNA is filed under the name uncultured bacterium. RNAcentral describes it as "partial 16S ribosomal RNA". It matches the Rfam family "Bacterial small subunit ribosomal RNA", at positions 1283 to 1500 of the family's 1533-position model. The record is from RNAcentral.
UGGUCCCAGUUCGGACUGUAGGCUGCAACUCGCCUACACGAAGUUGGAAUUGCUAGUAAUCGUGGAUCAGCAUGCCACGGUGAAUACGUUCCCGGGUCUUGUACACACCGCCCGUCACACCAUGGGAGUCGGUAACACCCGAAGUCAGUAGUCUAACCGCAAGGAGGACGCUGCCGAAGGUGGGAUUGACGACUGGGGUGAAGUCGUAACAAGGUACC